CGGGUGAGUAAUGUAUGGGGAUCUGCCUGAUGGCGGGGGGUAACUACUGGAAACGGUAGCUAAUACCGCAUAAUGUCUGCGGACCAAAGCGGGGGACCUCCGGGCCUCGCGCCAUCAGAUGAACCCAUAUGGGAUUAGCUAGUAGGUAAGGUAACGGCUUACCUAGGCGACGAUCCCUAGCUGGUCUGAGAGGAUGACCAGCCACACUGGAACUGAGACACGGUCCAG
Molecule: ribosomal RNA, 228 nt
Filed under: uncultured bacterium
Lineage: Bacteria
Description: partial 16S ribosomal RNA
Rfam family: Bacterial small subunit ribosomal RNA
Source: RNAcentral